AUGGCUCAGGAUGAACGCUAGCUACAGGCUUAACACAUGCAAGUCGAGGGGCAUCAUGAGGUCAGCUUGCUGGCUUGAUGGCGACCGGCGCACGGGUGAGUAACGCGUAUCCAACCUUCCCCUUAGUAGGGCAUAGCCCGGCGAAAGUCGGAUUAAUACCCUAUGUUUUCCAAUGAGGACAUCUGAGCUGGAACAAAGAUUCAUCGCUAAGGGAUGGGGAUGCGUCCGAUUAGGUAGUCGGCGGGGUAACGGCCCACCGAGCCGUCGAUCGGUAGGGUUCUGAGAGGAAGGUCCCCCACACUGGUACUGAGACACGGACCAGACUCCUACGGGAGGCAGCAGUGAGGAAUAUUGGUCAAUGGGCGAGAGCCUGAACCAGCCAAGUAGCGUGCAGGAUGACGGCCCUACGGGUUGUAAACUGCUUUUAUGCGGGAAUAAAGUGGCGUACGUGUACGUUUUUGUAGGUACCGCAUGAAUAAGGACCGGCUAAUUCCGUGCCAGCAGCAGC
This 508-nucleotide ribosomal RNA is filed under the name uncultured bacterium. RNAcentral describes it as "bacterial SSU rRNA". It matches the Rfam family "Bacterial small subunit ribosomal RNA", at positions 19 to 518 of the family's 1533-position model. The record is from RNAcentral.